RNAcentral lists this long non-coding RNA (1365 nucleotides) under Citrus x clementina. Its description in RNAcentral is "Citrus clementina (C. clementina) long non-coding RNA (CCLE_LNC005630)". Lineage: Eukaryota; Viridiplantae; Streptophyta; Magnoliopsida; Sapindales; Rutaceae. The record is from RNAcentral.
UUAAUUUCUAUUACAAUGUGGGUAGACAUUUAUUUGUGUAAAUCCAUGACUUAGGUAAAAUCUAACGAAUUUUUGUUUCAAAAUAUAAUAGAGGAAACUUAGAUUGCAGGUGAUAGAAGCCAUCGCCUAGAAUGUGAAAAAUCUCUCACGGGCAAUGGUCUCCAUUACUUGGGCGACAGCAGCCAUUGCUCGCACUUCACACAGGCAAUUGUCUCCAUCAACUACAAGAGUUGGGCAAGAGUUGUUUCGCUCUUGCGGAUGAUGGUCACAUUCACUUCACAUAAUUGUAUUUUUAAUGUUAAUUAUUUGUAGUCAAUUGUAUUUUUAAAGAAAUACAAUUGUUGUUUUAAUAAAGUAAUUAUAUUUAUUUUAUUUUUGCUUCAGGUUUAAUGGAAUUAACAAUUGUGCUUAAAAUGUGUGUAUAACAAAUCAUGUGAAACUUACGUUAAUGGUUGUAUGAAGAACAAGAAUGGAAAAGUUAAAGUUUUUUUUUUAAUUUGGAAUGAAACAACUUUCAAAUAGUUUAUUGCUAUGGUAUAUUAAGUGUUGAAGUUAAGUUCAAAUAAAUAUUCCAUGACAAUAAAAACAGUUUGGGGCACAAAUUAUCCUAUGCAACCCAUUGGUUCUUUACCUAUGGACAUAUUAGAUGAUGAAAUAGUGAAUGUUAUUAUAUGUAUGAACUCUGAUUGGAUAAACUAUGGAAAAACUCUUGUAUUGUAAUUACCUCAACUAAGGUUACAAUCUAAGCCCCUUUGAUGCCGUCUCGACAAGCUUAAGCUCCUUUGAUAUGACAAAUAUUAGAAUAAUAUUUAAACAAAUAAAAAAUAUAUACAUUUGAGACAUCAGGGCGAUAGAUUCUAUUGCCCAUGUCAAAGUAGGCAAUGGAGCAUUGGCAAUAGUAGUCAUCGCUCUCAUUUCACCCAAAACCAGUGCUAAGAUGUGAAAAAAAAAAUGAAAUAAGUUUAAAAUUCAUCUUAGUAAGCUUUUUUGGUAUUAAAGGGGUAAUAAUUAGGGAAUAACUCUGCAAAAUUAUUGAGAUAAUUAAAAAAUUAUUAGAGGCAUUUUAACAAACACCUAAUGUGUCAUAUUUUACAAGUAUUAAUAUUUAAAAAAAACUUUGAAUUGUUCGUGCCAAUACAUAUCCUAGUGCUGCUAUUCUAUCAAUAAUAAUCCAUGAAUCAAUUCAGACUUGUGAUAGUGUGAGAGAGCCAUACCUUUGAGUUGAAGCUAAUCUUUACGCGAUUGUUAUUGCAAGCUUUGUUGCUGACAAUGGGGGUUGUGGUGGGCAAUGUAGGAGAUUUGGGCGAUUCAAGUGAUUUGGGCUAUGGUCUUGGGCAAUGCACUAUUUAUUUGGAUAUGGUUACU